GUCCUAGCCCUAAACGGUGUUCACUUGGUGUGCGGGGUUUCGACCCCCUGCGUGCCGUAGCUAACGCGAUAAGUGAACCGCCUGGGAAGUACGGUCGCAAGAUUAAAACUCAAAGAAAUUGACGGGGGCCCGCACAAGCGGUGGAGCAUGUGGCUUAAUUCGAUGCAACGCGAAGAACCUUACCUGGCCUUGACAUCUAUCACGAAAAUCGGUGAAAGCCGGUGACGGCCCGAAAGGGUGCAGGGGAUAGACAGGUGCUGCAUGGUUGUCGU
Molecule: ribosomal RNA, 272 nt
Filed under: uncultured bacterium
Lineage: Bacteria
Description: partial 16S ribosomal RNA
Rfam family: Bacterial small subunit ribosomal RNA
Source: RNAcentral